Nicotiana attenuata is the source of this 118-nucleotide microRNA precursor. It matches the Rfam family "MIR6152 microRNA precursor family". The record is from Rfam. NCBI's taxonomy places the organism in Eukaryota, Viridiplantae, Streptophyta, Magnoliopsida, Solanales, Solanaceae.
UAGACAGAUUAUUGUAUUCAACUGUAUUCGCGGCGUGAAAUAGGGGAUUACAACGCCAUUCAUGGUCUAUUCAGCUGUUUUUAAACGGAAAGUGAAACAAUUAACAUAAUAGACUCCU